This is a non-coding RNA of Delphinapterus leucas (beluga whale), 3127 nucleotides long. The record is from RefSeq and is a predicted model, not a curated record. Lineage: Eukaryota; Metazoa; Chordata; Mammalia; Artiodactyla; Monodontidae.
GUGGACCUCCAGGUGGUGCCGCUGGCUGAAGGUCUUCCAGCACUCGCCGCACGCGUAUGGCCGCCUGCCCAGGUGGGUCCGCUGGUGCUUCAGGAGGUACUCACGCAGCGCGAAGCCUUUCCCGCACUCCCCGCAGCCGUAGGACUUGUCUUCUUCGUGGGUCCGCUGGUGUCUGACCAGAUUUGAGCUCCGACUGAAGCCUUUUCCGCACUCGGGGCACUGGAAAGGCUUCCAGAAGGAGCUGUGGGUCUUGAGGUCAUCAGGCAGGGGGACAAUGCCGCGCUGGGGAGGGGGCAGCCCGGGCGCGUUCCCCACCGAGCUCCCGGCCUCCUGCUCACAGGUUCUUCCGAACUCCGGGACCUGGAGAGAGGCUUCCCCAAACCUCUCUGCCGGCCCCCGAGCAAGCGGCCCCUUGGGGUCUGCCGGCUGGGUCUUCGCCUCCUUUUCCUUGCUCCCCAGGCCUACAGGACAAGGGAGAUACAGACCGAUAUUGAAACAGAUCUGAAGGCCCAAUCCUAGACAGUUGUCAAUGCAAGAGCUGCAAUCACGUGGGAAGAACUCUCAGGAAGACUCAAGGUUGAGACGGCUAGAGGAUGCUAUGCUUGGGAAGCAGACCUCCGGCUCACCCAGUCUCAGCGUAAACGUUAGGGAAGUACGUGGGUUGUUUUGAAACAGUGAGCGGAUAAGAGGACAAGCAUAAAGCCAGAGUCUCUAGAACAGUCAGAAUGGCCAGGAGGGUGUAAAAACUUGCUAGGAACACAGUGGCGGCCUUGGCAGAGGCCCGUCCCCAGCGCCAGGAUGAAAGCGCUAGGAUGCUGGCACCUCCAUGGGUGCACCACGCACGGCUCCUGCGCUCUGCAUUUACCUCGGAGGGGUUCCACGUCCUUUGCCAUCACAGAAAUCGCACAUCUCUUCAUCAUGGGUGACAGCCUUGUACUGGACCCAGGCCUCCCAGUAUACUGCCACUGACAUUACUCUGUGAUGACCGCUAGUCAAAACUCCACAUUUAACUUUACAGUAGCCCUCCGCAUCCAAGCUUCCUCAUCCGCAGAUCCAACCAACAGCAGAUCACGCGGGACUGUAGUACGUGUUCAUUGAAAAAAUCCACGUGUAAGUGGACCCACACAGAUCAAACCUCUGUUGUUAAUGGGUCGACUGUAUGACACGUUUGCACGUUUUAAGAUGAAACAUGUUUUAACAUGUUUUAAGAUGAAAAAAGACCAGGAGACGUCAGUACAGGUGAGUGGUCAGCACAUGACUUACAAAGAAGUGAUGAGAGGAGGAAAGAGAGAAUCAGAGGAAACAAAGGAGGGGGCCCUUCGCAGCCACGGUUCCCCUCUCCCCACCGCCCACCCCAUCCAAGCCACGGGGCUGUCACCCCUCGUCCCUAGCCCUCCGCAGUGUUCACCGGCUGUCCCUGGUGGGCCCUCGGUGUGCACUUUCCAGGCUCACCCUUCCCUCCUACCUUCUCCUGCUGCUUCUCCCCCACAAGCACCUUUCCUCCCAGCUCUGACGCCAGGUAAAAUCCGGCUGCCACCUGAGACGCCCGGCCAGGGCCCUGCUUGCUCUGCAACACCAGCCCACACCAGCCCCAUCCACUGCUGAGAUCCCACUGCAGCCCCGUGCCCUCCUGCACCCACACACUGUGGGCUCCGAGGUUUCAUGAACGUCAGUCCUGCCCCAACACAGAACUGCUAACGUGGGGCCUGCACACAAGGGAGCGCUCCAUAAACACAGGCUGGUGAAAGAGAUCAGAGGAUCCCCCUUUCGCUGCUUUUCUCUUGCUCUCAAGCCCUCAGUCCCCUUCAACUACACAGUAGGAGUUCGUUCAGGGCAUCCUAACAACCGACCUGUCUCAUUUCAGCCAGAAUAACUACCUGGUGUUUUCUUGCUCCUUGUCUGCUCCUCUCCUGACCCAGGAAAGCACCUCGCCAGCUCCGAUGUGCCUUGGUCCACGCGCUUUCCACAGACCCAUUUACUCAUCUGCCGUGAUAUUCCCUUCCUUUAUCAGUAGCAUCAGGUUCUGAAAUCUGGGGCAAGGACAACAACCCUGACCUACAGCUUUCACAACUCCUCAGUUUCUUACCUCCGGGAUGGAAACAGUCUUACCUGGAGGUGAGACCCCGCAGUCCUGGGGCUCCACGUACUCCCCAAGGCAGUCUAUCUGGGCUGGGGUCACGUGCCUCCACUCCUCCUCGGGGAAAGCCAGGGCCAUGUCUUUAAAUGGGCCCAACCCCUGAAACAGCACAGGAGAUGGCUAUGGAUAAAGAAAUAAUCCCGAGGCAGGAGCAGUGGAAAAGCAGAGAGACACAGGGGACAACAUUCCAGGGGAGAACAGAGCAGGAAGGCAGAAGGAAUGCGGGUCCCUAGAUGGUUCCGAGUGGGGUCAGAAGGGCCUCCCUCUCGACAGUUCAAUGGCAGAGAACGAUGGACUUGUCUGAGCCACUGUAUUUUUGAGCCUCUGCUGCAGCCACUUGGCUGGUACCCAACAACUGCGGCCUCUAACUUCCACCGUUCAAUCACCUGCACUCGAUCCUCAUGUUUGAUGGAGACUGGGGGCUGCUGUUUAGCCCCUCAACCAGAACUGACUUUCCCUCAGAGAUAAGUAAAAACUCGGGCUGGCCCUGCCUCAGGAACAACGUUGUGUUGAAAUCAAUGUGUCGUCGUCAUGACACCGUGAAGAACUACUGUGGUAGAAGGAGAGGCUCUGACCAAAUUCAAAAACUUUGAUGUCCUUUCUUCAUCUCCUCUAAACAAUAUGCUUGGAAAACAGAAGCAGCAAACAGCACAGGCAUCAACCCUUGCCCAAAUACGGCUUUAGUGAGCUCAAACUUGAGUCACUUCUGGGAAUUCCCACAGGAGGGGUCAGAGAGACCACUCGGCUCAGGGCUCCUGGGAGCGCCCACCCGAGUCGCUUCCCUCCUGCUGACGUGGGGGGAGGAUGGGGUCCAGAGGAAGAGCAGCGGCAGAAGUAUCCAUAAAGCGCAUCCACAAAGGGCUACUGACCUCCUGGCCAUCCACCACACCCUAGAUCACGCCUCUGGGAUUUCCACCACUAAUGUCUUCCUCCUCACAAUUACAAGAGUAAUACUGAGUCGAUGGAGGAAAAAAAAGAAAAAAAAAAAAA